RNAcentral lists this long non-coding RNA (3118 nucleotides) under Strongylocentrotus purpuratus (purple sea urchin). RNAcentral's name for it is "uncharacterized LOC115927150". The record is from RNAcentral. Lineage: Eukaryota; Metazoa; Echinodermata; Echinoidea; Camarodonta; Strongylocentrotidae.
CAGACCAUGCCUUAUGACACACACACAAGACAGCCAUUCCUAUCCUCAACAGCUACAGGAGCCAGAGCAGAGAGACAAAAUCUUUUUAUUACUUUGUUUUCCCCUGCUAUUCUUCAAUAUGGUGGAUUCAAAGCAUAUUGUGGACACAGUAGGCCUUUAUUGACGUGAGACCAUGCAGAAAAUGCUACUUUCUCUCAACCUCCUGGAUCAGCAUUCAGCAGCCUCGUGACACAGUUGAAGCCAUUAUCGAAUUCUUUGCGUGUAUGUACCCUGGAUCAAGCAGCACUUGCAUUAUACAGGAGAUUCCACCCAAAAUCUAAACCAUGAGUCCAAGCUGAAGAGGAAUAUUUCCAAAAUGAGGUCUACACACACACAGAGGUUACUUUCCCCUUCAUUAUAGAGAUAUCGAGAGAGAGAGAGAGAGAGAUGGGUGGGGGGGGGGGAGUGAGUUAUAGCCACGAACCUGAAUAGCUUAGAUGUAGAACUGAGAUGCCCAUUCAUGUCACUUGCCAUUUUAAUGAAUUCCAGGGUUUACAAACAUACAUAUUAACACUUUGGGUAAAAGAUCUCUGUAUUUGCAUAAAUUUGUUAUUACUAUUUAUGAAGUAGACCUGUUUCAUAAUGCUUAUGUAGUAGAUCAGUCUCAUACUCGACCCCAGCCCCUUCAUAUCACAAUGUCAAUUCCUAAAACCUGUGGCAAAUUAUAUAAGUUAGUAAUAGAGAAAAAUUGAAUGAGGUAGAUGCAAUACAAAUCGAUUCCAAUCUUAAGCACUUAAGACUUUAUUCAGGUAUGGCACGUGAACCGCCCAAAAAAUUCCAAAAAUGCUGCAGUUUUGUUUUAUGUUUAAAGUGAACGGUAACAAAGGACCUACAUGUUUUUGUAUAUUUUGGACUGCGCAUAUUCAGUGAUCUCUGUAUUAUAAUAUAUAGAAAUGUAAAGCAUAUAGAACUUUAUGUCAACUCCAGCAUCAUAUAUGAACGAGCCUUAAAAGACAAUUCAACCCUUGUAAUAAGUUCAUUGAAAUGGAAGCUGAAAAAUAAGAGAAAUAGAAAGGCGAAAGUUUGAAAUAAAUCGGGCCAAUAUAAAGGGAGUUGUGAUAAUAUAUAAAUAUGAGAUCACUAAAUCCAUGCAUAUCUCAAUGAAAUGCUAGAGCGCCGUAUGGCAGCCGUGCUAAAGCCAGGGUAAUAAUCGGGAGCGCCAGGAGGGUCAAAUCUGACUGACAUGAGCGCUACACAAGAACCCACUAUUAUUAUUAUUAUUACACCUGUAGUCAUGGGACAACUCUCCCAUUUGUUAAUGAAAUAUAAUAAAUUCUCUUUUUAUUUUAAGUGCCUUCUCCCUUUGAGAACUACUCAAAAUAUAUUAUGAAUAGCACAUUAUUACAGGUCCUCUACAUAGAAAAGCCACUCGUGAAUCAUACAUUUUGAAGAAAAAAAUAUUUAAAUAAUUUUGUGUGUUGAAAUAAAUGGGAAAGUAGUCCAGCAGCUCGUCAUAGUGACAUUACCGAUUCAGCCAAUUUAAAAUGCCCUUAGGUUUAGUGAUUACAGCUUUCAACAAUCCAUAACCACCUUAUUUUCUGUCAGAUUUAAUUUGCUAUUUUUUAAAAGUAUAGUUGUCUGUUAAGGUUGGAUUUCCCUUUAAAAAGUGUAAAGGGUAAGCCCUAUGUAACAUAAUGUGAUUAGGCCAUUUUCGUUAUAAAUCAAAUCAAAGUGCCGCGGAACAAAUUAUCUCUUUCACCUAUUAAGAAUAAUUGUAUUUCAAUAGUCAGAAUGCGAUAUGCAAACAUUAUGUGUUGUUAGGUAGGGCAAGACAUAAUGUUUGUCCUACCUAUAGUACUAGCAACACGUAAUGUAUUCAAUUUGUAUUCUGACUAUUUAAAUACAUUUAUUCGUAACAGGUGAAUUUAAUAAUUGGUAAUGAGGCACUUAACAAGGACCUACCGUAUUCAUUAAAUUUGAUUACAAUACGAAAAUGACCUACGUACAGUACAUGUAUUCAUAUGGAUAGGAAAUCUUUGAACUGUUAUGUAGUUUUCUGAGGGUUCAUAAUUUUAUAAAUUCUAAAGGGUUCAUAAUUCUACAAAUGAAGUAGGAUUCCUAAUUCUGAAAAUGAACUAGGAUUCGUAAUUCCAAAAAUGAAAUAUGGUUCAUAAUUCAGAAAAUUAAAUAGGGCUCAAUAUACUUCCAAAAGUUUAUUAUUCUGAAAAUGCAAAUAGAACCCUUUAUCCUUUUUGGAAUUACGAACCGUCAAUAUAAUGAAUCCUAUUUCAUAUUCAAAAUAACACCAUUUCAUUUGCCGAAUUAUGAACCCUAUUUCAAUAUCGUUAUUAACGCCCCUUUUUUAAUUCCAGAAUUAUGCACCAUUUAUAUUUUUCGUAAUUAUGAAAUCUAUUUCAUUUUUAAAUUCAAACCCUUCUUAAAUAUGGACCAUAUUUCAUUUAUCGAUUUGUCAUACUUUGUCAUAAUACACUGUACUAUCAAGUUACAUUUAUUGAUGAACAGCAUAUCACAGCACUUGUCAAAAUAGUAAGACCGUAAAUGAAUUUGUUUUGCUUGUGAAUGUAGCAGGCUUAUAUUAUGUAGUACACAAUAUUACAUUUCCAAUUGCUGCAACUUCAUAUCAAUCUUUUACAUGUACUAUGACAAUCUACAGGUCAAAAUCAUGCUUUGCGUAAUCAUUUGUGAAUUAUUCUCUAUUUAAUAUACAUGAAUGAAGUACUUAAAUUUGUGCAAAUGAACUUAUUCUCCAUGGUGGAAAAUUACAAACGAAAUUUCUCAGCAAAAACUAUUUCUCAUUGUUUCUACUCAUGAUGGCUACCGUAAGAUAACUAUUGCAAAUUGCCAAACCUACUCUUUUAAACAUCUACUUCAAAUUUUCAAGAUUGAUUUCUCUUUGUUAAAACUGGCCAUAAUUUCUAGACAAUAAUUAGCCAAUUUAACAUUGUUUUUUUUUUAUAUUUCUUCUUUUGUUGUUGAAAUGUGUAAAAAAAAUCCUGUUUCAUUUAAGCUGUUAACCUUGCUUUUAAAAUUCAUGUCAUUGUAAUCACUAUAUGAUGUAUGAUAUUCUGACAGAUAAUUAAAGGAUACACUGUUAAGUGUUAAAUAUGAUAAAGAUGAA